UACGUAGGACGCAAGCAUUAUCCGGAAUUACUGGGCGUAAAGGGCACGCAGGCGGUUCGGUAAGUCAGGUAUGAAAGCUCCAGGCUAAACUUGGAGAGGCUACAUGAGACUGCCGGACUUGAGUGGGGAAGAGGGGCGUAGAAUUCCGCGUGUAGUGGUAAAAUGCGUAGAUAUGCGGAGGAAUACCAGUGGCGAAGGCGACGCUCUGGUCCCCAACUGACGCUGAGGUGCGAAAGCAUGGGGAGUGAACGGG
Molecule: ribosomal RNA, 253 nt
Filed under: uncultured bacterium
Lineage: Bacteria
Description: partial 16S ribosomal RNA
Rfam family: Bacterial small subunit ribosomal RNA
Source: RNAcentral